CUUCCCCUCAAAGAAGCAGAGCUUAUUAUUCUGUUCCAGGAAGCUGGUAUUCUUCACAAGCCGCUCUUUCAGCUGCCCGUCCACGCUGACAUUCAGCCCGAUUUCAUUCAGUUUACCCUCUGUCCUCUGCCAUUCAAAUCCAGCCUGACUGAUUUCUUUUGGGGAGUCCAUUCCGCACUCUAGAGGCUUGCCUUUGGAGAGCUGGUCGUACGCAGCAGUGAGAGCAGCUGGCUGCUUGUCUGGAAGCGACAUCGUCUCUUCCACUGCUCCCCCACUCACUCCUGGAGCUCUUACACCACCCACGUUCACACGGAGCUUGCAGUGACAUCACAGCAAGUUCCCGGGAUUCAUGCACUGGGAUUUGAACCCGGAGCCUUAAACCCAGGGCUUUUUACUGAGCAGCGCCAGCCCCAGUUCAAGAACUAGUGAUGUGGAAUGCUAACUGGGCCUAUGAUUUGAGGUUCUAUUUUAUUCAGGUUAAGUGUGAUAAAAGUAACAUGGAUUUCUAGAUCUGGUCACAAUGUGGUUUCUAAGACUCUUUGGUCAGAUAUACAAUGUCCAAAUGGGCUGGUACAGCCAGAUGUACUGGCAGAUGUUACUGUUCUUUUGUGCCUGGAGUUGAUAUUUAACCUGUUCAGGGCCUUAGAUUUUUGUAUGUUCCAUGGUUGGUUUCCCUGCAUUCUCAUUAGUUACCAAGGCAACAUUAUAUUCCAGAUUGACCAACUGUUCUGUUAAUUGUCUCCAGGAAACCAUCCUAAUAAAUUAUCAUUACAAUGAAAGUUAGUAAUUCUAAAUACAAUGACUGAUAGUACUUCUUUCUAAUAGCCCAAGGUUAAAGUUAUAAUCUGUUUUUUUAUUUUUUACAUGGAUAUAAUAGUUAUACAUAUCUAUUUUCAAAACCAUAUUUAACUGAAUUUUAAGAACAUAUCUUAGUACGUGUUCAACUCAAGGACAUCAUGAUUCUCCCUGAUUAACAUUCAAAAGUUGAGAAGUGAACAGACAAAAAAAUGGAAAAAAAAAGUAAUCUGAUUUAUGUAACCUCAAAGCACUAAAAUGAAGUCAAUGAAAAAACUCUAUCAAGGACAAUUUCCUUUUAAGCAAAGUUCUGACCUUCUAAUAGCCUCUACCAAAAGAAAAGAACAUGAUCCAAUAAAAACCAGACAGAAACACAACUCCAUUGACCAAAUAGUUCCAGGGUAAUUUUAAGGUUAUCUGUCUAUGGAGGCACACAGGACUCCCUAGAGCCUUUAGGAAUUUAUCUUCUUUUUCCCAAUCUCAAUUUAAAAGGCUUCAGAGAUUUCACUGGUUUCCCAAUGACAUCUCUACCAAUCACACCACAGCAUUUGCCACUUCCUUAAGAUACCAUGCAACUGCAGGCCACUAUCAUGUGACUCCUCGAAUGCUUUGCUUAGCAAAGUCUUAGCAACACUUCCUGACCCAUUCAGACCCCAGAACUCUUGCUCUUGUAUGUGACUAAUGCUAAUCUGUUCAUAAGAUGAUUUGUCUUCAGUGGAUAUGUCAUAGGUUAAAUAAAAUAAGCAAGUCCCA
This is a long non-coding RNA of Mesocricetus auratus (golden hamster), 1548 nucleotides long. RefSeq lists it as uncharacterized. The record is from RefSeq and is a predicted model, not a curated record. NCBI's taxonomy places the organism in Eukaryota, Metazoa, Chordata, Mammalia, Rodentia, Cricetidae. The transcript has 2 exons.